RNAcentral lists this ribosomal RNA (427 nucleotides) under uncultured Pseudomonadota bacterium. Its description in RNAcentral is "bacterial SSU rRNA". It matches the Rfam family "Bacterial small subunit ribosomal RNA", at positions 356 to 774 of the family's 1533-position model. Lineage: Bacteria; Pseudomonadati; Pseudomonadota. The record is from RNAcentral.
GGGGAAUUUUGGACAAUGGGGGCAACCCUGAUCCAGCCAUGCCGCGUGAGUGAAGAAGGCCUUCGGGUUGUAAAGCUCUUUCGGACGGAAAGAAAACGCAUGGGUUAAUACCCUGUUCCGAUGACGGUACCGUCAUAAGAAGCAUCGGCUAACUACGUGCCAGCAGCCGCGGUAAUACGUAGGGGUGCGAGCGUUAAUCGGAAUUACUGGGCGUAAAGCGUGCGCAGGCGGCUUUUUAAGUCGGAUGUGAAAUCCCCGAGCUUAACUUGGGAAUUGCAUUCGAGACUGGGAAGCUAGAGUAUGGGAGAGGAUGGUAGAAUUCCAGGUGUAGCGGUGAAAUGCGUAGAGAUCUGGAGGAAUACCGAUGGCGAAGGCAGCCAUCUGGCCUAAUACGGACGCUGAGGUACGAAAGCAUGGGGAGCAAACA